This is a long non-coding RNA of Sebastes umbrosus (honeycomb rockfish), 613 nucleotides long. RefSeq lists it as uncharacterized. The transcript is spliced from 3 exons. Lineage: Eukaryota; Metazoa; Chordata; Actinopteri; Perciformes; Sebastidae. The record is from RefSeq and is a predicted model, not a curated record.
AGGUUAAUACAUUCAGAGCAUUGUCCAAAUUUACAUUCAGAGGUUCACCUUCUCAUGUGUUCAGAUCAGAGAGGAAGGUCUGGGGAGUGUUUCAGUAUUCACUCUAGUGAUGAACAUAUGGCAUCAAACUAAAUAACUAAGCUUGCAAGGAGAUAUGCUAAAUUUGACAUCUCAUCUCAGACUUUAUAAUGCAAACCAAAUCUGUGUUAAGUGUGAACAUGUGAUGGACGGUUUGACAUUAUGUCUGUUGUCUGAACCUGUUGGGGCAUCGCUGUGUUAUAUUUGUCACUGUAUUCUAAUGGACCUUGCAGGGCCGAACAAUAAGGAAUGACCAAUUUCCAGGGCAAGUAAAAUACCACGUCGGGCUAGUAAAUAUCUACUCCCUUGCCUGAUCGGGCAACAAAUUGUUUUUUCCGGAGCGGAUAAUGGAAGUAGUUAAGGAGUGACCAAAGUCGUUUCCUUCUCAUCUCUGUUGAGAGUUGCUCCGUACCGAUCGGGCACUCACGAGAAAAUGGCAGCGGGUAAAGACAAAGUUUAUGAGCUGAAGCACAAGCGAGCAUUUCAAAUUAUUCUGGAAACAGGAGUUUAGUUGGGUGGCGUUAGAGCAUGGGGG